RNAcentral lists this small RNA (676 nucleotides) under Arabidopsis thaliana (thale cress). RNAcentral describes it as "ATSL169840". Lineage: Eukaryota; Viridiplantae; Streptophyta; Magnoliopsida; Brassicales; Brassicaceae. The record is from RNAcentral.
UUUUGGGUUCAUUUUCUUCUUCUUGAACCUUUGAGGCAUAUUCAUUGUCCUCACGUACCUGUUUAGUACUUGAUUCCCUAGACUCUUUGUAUGGAAACACACUUUCAAAGAACUCAGCCUCAUUAGAUUCAAUGAUCGUAUUUACCUUUACCUCAGCAUUAUUAGAUUAUUGGUAUAACCCGCUUUUCAGCGAUUUUAUCUAUGUUUUAGGUAUAGGAUUUUGAGUCUUUAUGUUAUUUCUCGAGUCUUUUUAGUGUCUUUUCAGGUAUUCUAUGCAAUGAGACAACAAUGGAGAUAAAGAGACAUUUUGGAGCAAAAGCUAAGGAAAAGGAAGCUAAAGACAAUUUUGGUUCAGGAAUCAGCGAGGAGUGUCGAUCGACACACUCUUGGUGUCGAUCGACACCAGUUUUGGCCCAGCAGAAGUCCAUGACGCUUUCAAGUUUACAGAAGAGGAAAUUUGCCCCAGAAGACUUCCCUAUUUGUAUUAUUAGUCCCUGGACGUUUUUACGGUUUUAUAUAUUGUUUUUAGACCUAAGUUUAAUUUAUCAAGCUUUUGCAAAACCUUGUUACAGAGAGACAUAAGCUAUUCAUCGAUUGUUUUCAGAGUUUAAUUCAGAUCUUAAUACAGUGAAAAUAUCCCUUCUUUCCCCUUCUCUAUUUACUGUGUUUAUGCCUU